This 492-nucleotide ribosomal RNA is filed under the name uncultured bacterium. RNAcentral's name for it is "bacterial SSU rRNA". It matches the Rfam family "Bacterial small subunit ribosomal RNA", at positions 28 to 517 of the family's 1533-position model. The record is from RNAcentral.
GACGAACGCUGGCGGUAUGCUUAACACAUGCAAGUCGAGCGAGAAUCGUUUAUUGAAGGCUUCGGCUGGAAAUAGAUGAGGAAAGCGGCGAACGGGUGAGUAACGCGUGGGCAACCUGGCCUUAAGAAAAGGAUAGCCCCCGGAAACGGGGGUAAUACUUUAUGAGAAUGAGAGAGGGCAUCCUACUUUCAUUCAAAGCGCAAGCGCUUAAGGAUGGGCCCGCGUAUCAUUAGCUAGUUGGUGAGAUAACAGCCCACCAAGGCAACGAUGAUUAGCCGGUCUGAGAGGGCGAACGGCCACAUUGGAACUGAGAGACGGUCCAAACUCCUACGGGAGGCAGCAGUGGGGAAUAUUGCGCAAUGGAGAAGAACUCUGACGCAGCAAUACCGCGUGAGCGAAGAAGGUCUUCGGAUCGUAAAGCUCUGUUAUCAGGGAAGAAGAAAAUGACGGUACCUGAUGAGCAAGUCCCGGUAACUACGUGCCAGCAGCCCG